Long non-coding RNA from Phyllostomus discolor (pale spear-nosed bat), 98 nucleotides. RefSeq lists it as uncharacterized. The record is from RefSeq and is a predicted model, not a curated record. Lineage: Eukaryota; Metazoa; Chordata; Mammalia; Chiroptera; Phyllostomidae. The transcript is spliced from 3 exons.
AGGGAAGGUUAAGAAUAGUAUAAGAAAUUAAGAAGCCAAAGAACUUAUAUGCACGACCCAAGGACAUGGACUACAGGGGAGGUAUGAAGGUAGGAGAG